This 448-nucleotide ribosomal RNA is filed under the name uncultured Planctomycetota bacterium. Its description in RNAcentral is "bacterial SSU rRNA". It matches the Rfam family "Bacterial small subunit ribosomal RNA", at positions 217 to 656 of the family's 1533-position model. Lineage: Bacteria; Pseudomonadati; Planctomycetota. The record is from RNAcentral.
GCUUAAGGAGGGGUUAAUGUCCUAUCAGCUAGUUGGUGGGGUAAUGGCCUACCAAGGCAAAGACGGGUAGCCGGCUUGAGAGGGUGGUCGGCCACACUGGGACUGAGACACUGCCCAGACUCCUACGGGAGGCUGCAGUCGAGAAUCUUUCGCAAUGCCCGAAAGGGUGACGAAGCGACGCCGCGUGUGGGAAGAAGGCCUUCGGGUUGUAAACCACUGUCGGGAGUUAGGAAAUGCAGGAGCGUUAAUAGCGCACUUGCUUGACUAAGGCUCCAAAGGAAGCCACGGCUAACUCUGUGCCAGCAGCCGCGGUAAUACAGAGGCGGCAAGCGUUGUUCGGAAUUAUUGGGCGUAAAGAGCACGUAGGCGGCCUUGCAAGUCAGUUGUGAAAGCCUUCCGCUUAACGGGAGAACGGCAUCUGAUACUACAGGGCUUGAGUACGGGAGGG